RNAcentral lists this long non-coding RNA (635 nucleotides) under Marmota monax (woodchuck). Lineage: Eukaryota; Metazoa; Chordata; Mammalia; Rodentia; Sciuridae. The record is from RNAcentral.
GUAAAGGAUGGAACAAUCUAAGUUUGUCACUGCUUAUGUAAUAAUUGAAAUCCUACCUCACUGACAUUUAAUAUUGUUAUUCUAUUCAUUUACUAAUUCAUUUCACUCAUUUAUUCAGUUAUCUAUUUGGUUAUUGCCAAUCAGAUAGAUAUGAAAUGGUGUUUCUUCAUGUUUGUAUUUGCAAUUUCUCUCAUAUCUGAUAAGUUCACAACUCUGUCUCUGUCUUAUAUCUGUGUGUGUGUGUGUGUGUGUGCACAUACACAUUCAUACAGCAUAGGCUCACCAUUCAUAUCCAUUUUCUGUAGGAUGUGUGUCUUUCCUCACUUUCAUAUUGAACUUCACCUUUUACUUAUUGUUUUUUCUUUUUUUGUACACUCUGCUGAUUUUUUUAGCUACAUGUGCUACAGACGUUGUGAUUUUAUAAGCAGAAUGUCUUACAAAGUUAUAUAACGUGUGACCUGACAUAUUCCACAAAGAACUCUGUUCUCUUUAAUGCAUUUCUUCUCUUAGAUAUUGAAUUUUCUUGUCCAUGGGUCCAGUAUAUAAAGAUUAUCCUUUCAUGUCCUAGUUUUUCUUUAAUUUCUUUCAAAGUAAGGGACAGUCCUGAAUGGAAAUAUUGACCUUUUUUAGUUCUA